This 119-nucleotide ribosomal RNA is filed under the name Periophthalmus magnuspinnatus. Lineage: Eukaryota; Metazoa; Chordata; Actinopteri; Gobiiformes; Gobiidae. The record is from RNAcentral.
AUUAGUUAUAUCAUCCAACCUUGUCAAUGCCUGAUCUCUCUUUGAUCUCGAAAGCCAAGCAGGGUUGGACCUGGUAAGUACUUGAAUGGAUAACCACUGGGAAUAUAGGAUGGCAGGUC